GUCUACGGCCAUACCAAUCUUGAACACGCCUGGAUCUCAUCCUGAUCUCGGAAGCUAAGCAGGGUCGGGCCUGGUUAGUACUUGGAUGGGAAGAAUCUCAUGGUCCUGGGAAGU
RNAcentral lists this ribosomal RNA (114 nucleotides) under Erinaceus europaeus (western European hedgehog). The record is from RNAcentral. Lineage: Eukaryota; Metazoa; Chordata; Mammalia; Eulipotyphla; Erinaceidae.